Molecule: ribosomal RNA, 923 nt
Filed under: uncultured bacterium
Lineage: Bacteria
Description: bacterial SSU rRNA
Rfam family: Bacterial small subunit ribosomal RNA
Source: RNAcentral
AAGGGUGCGUAGGCGGCAUUUUAAGUCAGUGGUGAAAUCCUGCAGCUUAACUGUAGAACAGCCAUUGAAACUGAAGUACUUGAGUAAUCUUGAAGUAGGCGGAAUGUGUAGUGUAGCGGUGAAAUGCUUAGAUAUUACACAGAACACCGAUUGCGAAGGCAGCUUACUAAGGAUUUACUGACGCUGAUGCACGAAAGCGUGGGGAUCAAACAGGAUUAGAUACCCUGGUAGUCCACGCCGUAAACGAUGAUAACUCGCUGUUGGCGAUACACAGUCAGCGGCUUAGCGAAAGCGUUAAGUUAUCCACCUGGGGAGUACGCUCGCAAGAGUGAAACUCAAAGGAAUUGACGGGGGCCCGCACAAGCGGAGGAACAUGUGGUUUAAUUCGAUGAUACGCGAGGAACCUUACCUGGGCUUAAAUGUGCUAUGACCGCUGGAGAAAUUCGGCUUUUCGCAAGAACAGAGUACAAGGUGCUGCAUGGUUGUCGUCAGCUCGUGCCGUGAGGUGUCGGGUUAAGUCCCAUAACGAGCGCAACCCUUAUGAUUAGUUGCUAACAGGUUAAGCUGAGGACUCUAGUCAGACUGCCACCGUAAGGUGUGAGGAAGGUGGGGAUGACGUCAAAUCAGCACGGCCCUUAUGUCCAGGGCUACACACGUGUUACAAUGGCCGAUACAAAGGGCAGCUACCAGGCGACUGGAUGCUAAUCUCUAAAGUCGGUCUCAGUUCGGAUCGGAGUCUGAAACCCGACUCCGUGAAGCUGGAUUCGCUAGUAAUCGCGCAUCAGCCAUGGCGCGGUGAAUACGUUCCCGGGCCUUGUACACACCGCCCGUCAAACCAUGGAAGCCGAGGGUACCUGAAGUAUGUGACCGCAAGGAGCGUCCUAGGGUAAAAUUGGUGACUAGGGUUAAGUCGUAACAAGGUA